GACGAACGCUGGCGGCGUGCUUAACACAUGCAAGUCGAACGCUGAAGCUUGGUGCUUGCACUGGGUGGAUGAGUGGCGAACGGGUGAGUAAUACGUGAGUAACCUGCCCUUGACUCUGGGAUAAGCCUGGGAAACUGGGUCUAAUACUGGAUACGACAUGUCACCGCAUGGUGGUGUGUGGAAAGGGUUUUACUGGUUUUGGAUGGGCUCACGGCCUAUCAGCUUGUUGGUGGGGUAAUGGCUCACCAAGGCGACGACGGGUAGCCGGCCUGAGAGGGUGACCGGCCACACUGGGACUGAGACACGGCCCAGACUCCUACGGGAGGCAGCAGUGGGGAAUAUUGCACAAUGGGCGUAAGCCUGAUGCAGCGACGCCGCGUGAGGGAUGACGGCCUUCGGGUUGUAAACCUCUUUCAGCACGGAAGAAGCGAAAGUGACGGUACGUGCAGAAGAAGCGCCGGCUAACUACGUG
Molecule: ribosomal RNA, 472 nt
Filed under: uncultured bacterium
Lineage: Bacteria
Description: partial 16S ribosomal RNA
Rfam family: Bacterial small subunit ribosomal RNA
Source: RNAcentral